UUAUAUCCAUAACAUUUGUACAAGCCCAUACUUUCAUCAUCUUUCCUCCUCUGCACAUUUAUAGCAUAACCCUUCCUUGUUUCUUGUUCGACCAUCCAAGACAUUCAAACCAUUCAUAAAUUGAUUACAAUAUUAACUUCAAAUUUUAAGAGCAUACAUACACAUAACCUUGAAUCACACCAUAAACUACCACCAUCUCCACUUGAAUCGCCACAAGAACCCCACUUUGCGGCCACCCCUUUCGUUUCCGCCACACGUCACCGUCGCGAGCAACUCGUCACCACCGCACCAUUCAGUUACUGUUUUCCACCGCGGCGGGUCGGUUUCUUUCCAAACUAUCAAGUGCAUGAGGGUGUGCAAAGACAUGUGUAAUCAGGGAUAAUGGGGAAUCAGUAAUGAGAGAUUAAUGGAUGUUCAAGAGUAUUUAAAGACUCUUCAUUUUGUUAAAUCAUGUACUUUUAAAUGAACUUAAGACUUAGGGUUUUUUUUAGACGUGUAU
This 499-nucleotide long non-coding RNA is filed under the name Helianthus annuus (common sunflower). The record is from RNAcentral. Lineage: Eukaryota; Viridiplantae; Streptophyta; Magnoliopsida; Asterales; Asteraceae.